Dioscorea cayenensis subsp. rotundata (Guinea yam) is the source of this 107-nucleotide small nucleolar RNA. NCBI's taxonomy places the organism in Eukaryota, Viridiplantae, Streptophyta, Magnoliopsida, Dioscoreales, Dioscoreaceae. The record is from RefSeq and is a predicted model, not a curated record.
AACCUGUGUUGAGGAUAUUUCCAUAGAAGAUCCUUGAACCUUUCCCAUGUCUCAAAGAGAGAUUCCAAUUCCAUUUGCACAUAGGAAGAUAUCUCAAUCAUAAGCUU